UAAGGGGCUUGCUCCUUAUUUUAGUGGCGCACGGGUGAGCUACGCGUGGAUAAUCUACCUUGGAAUCUGGCGAUAACAUCUCGAAAGGGGUGCUAAUACCGGAUAAGACCACGGGCUCUAUGGAGUCUGCAGGUAAAAGGGGGCCUCUGUAUAUGCUUCUGUUUCAAGAUGAGUCCGCGUACCAUUAGCUAGUUGGCAGGGUAAUGGCCUACCAAGGCGACGAUGGUUAGCUGGCCUGAGAGGAUGAUCAGCCACACUGGAACUGAAACACGGUCCAUACUCCUACGGGAGGCAGCAGUGGGGAAUUUUGCGCAAUGGGGGAAACCCUGACGCAGCAACGCCGCGUGAGUGAUGAAGGCCUUCGGGUCGUAAAGCUCUGUCAGAGGGAAAGAAGUGUAUGGCGGUUAAUACCCGUUGUACUUGACGGUACCCUCAAAGGAAGCACCGGCUAACUCCGUGCCAGCCGCCG
This 469-nucleotide ribosomal RNA is filed under the name uncultured bacterium. RNAcentral's name for it is "bacterial SSU rRNA". It matches the Rfam family "Bacterial small subunit ribosomal RNA", at positions 72 to 517 of the family's 1533-position model. The record is from RNAcentral.